AUGCUUCCUGACCCCACAGAGGGUGGCCUGGUGGUGCCGGAGCCCCUGGAGCAGCGGUACCGCCUGUUCUCCCGAGCGCUGGGUGAGGGCACGCUGAACCGCCUGCUGCUGCUGCACGCCGUGAUGUCCAGCUCCCUGAGGGACGGCUCUGUUCUGAACACAUCCCCGCCGCCGCCGGAGGAGCCCAGCCGAGCCCCGCCGGACGACAGGAAGGACCUCCCGUGGGGGGCCCAGUUUGAGCUGCCGCCCAUGCUGCUGGACACGGACAGGGAUGGUUACACGUCAUCGAAAGCCACGCCAUCGAAAACGCCGGGAACGCAAGACUCCCUCCUCCCCCCGCCCUCCCUCCGCAUCCUGCUGACGCCUCCGGCUCGUGAGGUUGGUGUGUGCGGCGCGAACCUCAUCCAGGCCCCGUCAGAGCUGCUCUGGGCCAGGGGCGAGCACAGAGAAGCUUCUGGAAGGUGGUCUCUCCAUCAGCAGCCGUCACAACGGUGCUGACCAUGUAUUGAGGCCGCUAGUGUCACCGUGCUAGUGUCCAGGGGCGGCCGCUAGUGUCACCGUGCUAGUGUCCAGGGGCAGCCAGAUGAAAGCACUGCAGACCAGGCGGCGUAAAGCACAGACGUCCAUUCUCUGCCCACAGUGGAGCCGGGAGCCCAAGGUCAGCUGUCCCAGGGCCGUGCUCCCUCCAAAGGCUCGGGCGCGCCCCUGCGGCCUCUCCCAGUCCCCGCAGUCCCGGCUCCUUAGCUGGUGGCCACAUCGCUGCCUCCUCCCUGCAUGGCUGUUUCUCUUCUAAGGACACCCACUAUCGGAUAGAGGGCCCACCCUCAACCCAGAGGUCCCACUCGGAGGUCCCUGGGGGACACAGAUUGGGGGCCACCCAUUCUCUCCGCAGGGGCUGGGAGUGGUCGCUCCCCUCAACUAUAAGCAAGAGAUGAGACUAAGACGUUGAGGGGGUCCCUGUGGGACCCUGCAGCUGGGUCCGGGUCCGGGUCCGGGGCCCGAGGGGCCUCAGGUGGCCCAGGGACCUCCGUCCACGGCUGCCUUUCCCCACAGAAGUCGAGCUCCGUGAGCGGGAAGAGUCUGGUCUCCAAGCUGCGCUCCCCGGGCGGCCAGGAGCCAGGCUACCCCGCCCCGAGGACGGCGCAGGCCGGGCUGAGCGCCCAGGCGCUCCGGGAGAUGGCCGCGAGCACCCAGAGCAUCACCCGCAUCGCGGCCACGCGGCGCGCCAAGGCGCAGGACUGUGACGGCGGCAGCGGCCGCUCUUCCCGCCACCCCGCAGAGGCGGCGGCCCCAGGCUCCAGGGAC
This 1305-nucleotide long non-coding RNA is filed under the name Sus scrofa (pig). RNAcentral describes it as "lncRNA (ENSSSCG00055009778.1)". The record is from RNAcentral. Lineage: Eukaryota; Metazoa; Chordata; Mammalia; Artiodactyla; Suidae.